Molecule: ribosomal RNA, 253 nt
Filed under: uncultured bacterium
Lineage: Bacteria
Description: partial 16S ribosomal RNA
Rfam family: Bacterial small subunit ribosomal RNA
Source: RNAcentral
UACGUAGGUGGCAAGUGUUGUCCGGAUUUACUGGGUGUAAAGGGCGUGUAGCCGGGCUUACAAGUCAGAUGUGAAAUCCGGGGGCUCAACCCCCGAACUGCAUUUGAAACUGUAGGUCUUGAGUAUCGGAGAGGCAGGCGGAAUUCCUAGUGUAGCGGUGAAAUGCGUAGAUAUUAGGAGGAACACCAGUGGCGAAGGCGGCCUGCUGGACGACAACUGACGGUGAGGCGCGAAAGCGUGGGGAGCAAACAGG